RNAcentral lists this small nuclear RNA (114 nucleotides) under Ipomoea nil (Japanese morning glory). RNAcentral's name for it is "U2 spliceosomal RNA". It matches the Rfam family "U2 spliceosomal RNA". From Rfam's summary of the family: U2 is a small nuclear RNA (snRNA) component of the spliceosome (involved in pre-mRNA splicing). Complementary binding between U2 snRNA (in an area lying towards the 5' end but 3' to hairpin I) and the branchpoint sequence (BPS) of the intron results the bulging out of an unpaired adenosine, on the BPS, which initiates a nucleophilic attack at the intronic 5' splice site, thus starting the first of two transesterification reactions that mediate splicing. Lineage: Eukaryota; Viridiplantae; Streptophyta; Magnoliopsida; Solanales; Convolvulaceae. The record is from Rfam by way of RNAcentral.
AUACCUUUAUAAACCUUUUGGCUAAGAUCAAGUGUAAUAUCUAUUCUUAUCAGUUUAAUAUAUGAUACGUGGGUAAUGGUCCACAUGAUAUUAACACACUUAUGGCGAUCAAAU